CUGGGAGUUAUGGUGGCUGGUGGCCG
RNAcentral lists this unclassified non-coding RNA (26 nucleotides) under Mus musculus (house mouse). Its description in RNAcentral is "oocyte_clustered_small_RNA2671". The record is from RNAcentral. Lineage: Eukaryota; Metazoa; Chordata; Mammalia; Rodentia; Muridae.